GAUGAACGCUGGCGGCGUGCCUAAUACAUGCAAGUCGAGCGAACAGACGAGGAGCUUGCUCCUCUGACGUUAGCGGCGGAAGGGUGAGUAACACGUGGAUAACCUACCUAUAAGACUGGGAUAACUUCGGGAAACCGGAGCUAAUACCGGAUAACAUGUUGAACCGCAUGGUUCAACAGUGAAAGACGGUCUUGCUGUCACUUAUAGAUGGAUCCGCGCCGCAUUAGCUAGUUGGUAAGGUAACGGCUUACCAAGGCAACGAUGCGUAGCCGACCUGAGAGGGUGAUCGGCCACAUUGGAACUUGGUCACGGUCCAAACUCCUACGGGAAGCAGCAGUACGGGAUCUUCCGCUAUUGUCGAAAUCCUUACAGAACAACGCCGCGUGAGUGGCGAAGGUCUUCAGAUCGUGAAACUCUGUUAUUAGGGAAUAACAAAUGUGUAAGUAACUGUGCACGUCUUGACGUUACCUAAUCAGAAUACCACGGCUAACUACGUG
Molecule: ribosomal RNA, 497 nt
Filed under: uncultured bacterium
Lineage: Bacteria
Description: partial 16S ribosomal RNA
Rfam family: Bacterial small subunit ribosomal RNA
Source: RNAcentral